Molecule: ribosomal RNA, 444 nt
Filed under: Porolithon onkodes
Lineage: Eukaryota; Rhodophyta; Florideophyceae; Corallinales; Porolithaceae
Description: SSU rRNA
Rfam family: Eukaryotic small subunit ribosomal RNA
Source: RNAcentral
CUGCGAAUGGCUCGGUAAAACAGCAAUAAUUUCUUCGAUGAUGAGUUUACUCACGGAUAACCGUAGUAAUUCUAGAGCUAAUACGUGCUGAGAUAAAAUGGGGCUCACGCUCCAUUGUGCCGUUUAGAUAACAACACCAACAUUUGGUGAUUCAUAAUCGUCUUUCUGAUCGCUUCUAGCGACGCAUCGUUCAAAUUUCUGACCUAUCAACUUUCGAUGGUAAGGUAGUGUCUUACCAUGGUGGCAACGGGUAACGGACCGUGGGUGCGGGACUCCGGAGAGGGAGCCUGAGAAACGGCUACCACAUCCAAGGAAGGCAGCAGGCGCGCAACUUGCCCAAUCCAGACUCUGGGAGGCAGUGACAAGAAAUAUCAAUAGGGGAUCCUAUGGGUCUUCUAAUUGGAAUGAGAACAAGCUAAACAGCUUAUCGAGAAUCCAGCAGAG